CAAAGUGAAGAGGAGAUGAACAUGGCUUUGCAUAGCUGUUCUAUGCCAACUUACCUGCUCUUGCUGGCACCGUAGUGGCAUAUUGCAAAUUUCGUGGACGAACAACUCUAGUCACUAGUGGCUAGUGAGCAACACUAACAGACCAGAAUGCUUCGCUAUCAACUCCUGGCUUUCCAUCGGCAUGGUGUUCAGCUGCAGCGGCAUCUGGUCCGGGGAGUUCAAGUUGCUGGAUGGCUGCACUGACACAGGAUGGGUUUGCGUUGGCAAUGCGAUACGGCAGUCAUCCCACAUCACGAGCUACAUGUUUAUGUAAUUUAUAUUGUCGCUCGUCCAGCAACGUCAAGGCUCUGCAUGUAAACACAGGAGAACACCAUAAUACUACUCAGGGGAUAAUAAUUUUGGAUAUCAAUUUCGUGACAAUUAUUAGAUUCACACAAUAUUCACAACGUAUGCAACACGAUGCUGUCUAUUGACACUACUUCAAACUGAAGUGCUCACUACUCCUCUCCCGUUUUCAUCUCCCUCUACCUUAUGAAUACUCUGCAUUACUGGUUUCGUUUCUACCCUUUCCAUUGCUGCCAGCUCCCAGUCUUUUUCAAUGCACAGCACCACCUUGACAGUCAUUUUUGUGAUUUGAUGUACACAUACUUUGAAGUUCAAAUUCGAAUUACAUGAUCAGAUUUUUGUUCCACAUUUUCUAUUUAUUUUUACUUCAAGCACAACCCUACCGAUGAAGGGAAAGAAGCAGCAGAGAGA
Molecule: long non-coding RNA, 756 nt
Organism: Sycon ciliatum
Lineage: Eukaryota; Metazoa; Porifera; Calcarea; Leucosolenida; Sycettidae
Exons: 2
Source: RefSeq, a predicted model, not a curated record